This 812-nucleotide ribosomal RNA is filed under the name uncultured bacterium. RNAcentral's name for it is "bacterial SSU rRNA". It matches the Rfam family "Bacterial small subunit ribosomal RNA", at positions 636 to 1447 of the family's 1533-position model. The record is from RNAcentral.
UNUGACUUGAGUGCAGAAGGGGAGAGUGGAAUUCCAUGUGUAGCGGUGAAAUGCGUAGGUAUAUGGAGGAACACCAGUGGCGAAAGCGGCUCUCUGGUCUGUCACUGACGCUGAGGCUCGAAAGCGUGGGUAGCGAACAGGAUUAGAUACCCUGGUAGUNCACGCCGUAAACGAUGAGUGCUAGGUGUUAGGCCCUUUCCGGGGCUUAGUGCCGGAGCUAACGCAAUAAGCACUCCGCCUGGGGAGUACGACCGCAAGGUUGAAACUCAAAGGAAUUGACGGGGGCCCGCACAAGCGGUGGAGCAUGUGGUUUAAUUCGAAGCAACGCGAAGAACCUUACCAGGUCUUGACAUCCCGAUGCUAUUCUUAGAGAUAGGAAGUUACUUCGGUACAUCGGAGACAGGUGGUGCAUGGUUGUCGUCAGCUCGUGUCGUGAGAUGUUGGGUUAAGUCCCGCAACGAGCGCAACCCUUAUUGUUAGUUGCCAUCAUUAAGUUGGGCACUCUAGCGAGACUGCCGGUAAUAAACCGGAGGAAGGUGGGGAUGACGUCAAAUCAUCAUGCCCCUUAUGACCUGGGCUACACACGUGCUACAAUGGUCGGUACAACGAGUUGCGAGCCGGUGACGGCAAGCUAAUCUCUGAAAGCCGAUCUCAGUUCGGAUUGGAGGCUGCAACUCGCCUCCAUGAAGUCGGAAUCGCUAGUAAUCGCGGAUCAGCACGCCGCGGUGAAUACGUUCCCGGGCCUUGUACACACCGCCCGUCACACCACGAGAGUUUGUAACACCCGAAGUCGGUGAGGUAACCUUUUAGGG